UACCCUCUGCUAGAUGAACGUUGU
RNAcentral lists this non-coding RNA (24 nucleotides) under Arabidopsis thaliana (thale cress). The record is from RNAcentral. Lineage: Eukaryota; Viridiplantae; Streptophyta; Magnoliopsida; Brassicales; Brassicaceae.